UUUCUCAGACUCAAUUGGUAGAGUGCUUGCCUCACGUGCAUAAGGCCCUGGGUUCAAUCCCCUGCAUCACAAAA
This 74-nucleotide transfer RNA is filed under the name Marmota monax (woodchuck). RNAcentral describes it as "tRNA.Val". The record is from RNAcentral. Lineage: Eukaryota; Metazoa; Chordata; Mammalia; Rodentia; Sciuridae.